This 253-nucleotide ribosomal RNA is filed under the name uncultured prokaryote. RNAcentral's name for it is "partial 16S ribosomal RNA". It matches the Rfam family "Bacterial small subunit ribosomal RNA", at positions 524 to 776 of the family's 1533-position model. The record is from RNAcentral.
UACGGGGGGGGCAAGCGUUGUUCGGAAUUACUGGGCGUAAAGGGCGCGUAGGCGGUUCGAUAAGUCAGCUGUGAAAACCAUGGGCUUAACUCAUGGCCUGCAGUUGAGACUGUCGGGCUGGAGUGUGGAAGAGGAGAGUGGAAUUCCUGGUGUAGCGGUGAAAUGCGUAGAUAUCUGGAGGAACAUCGGUGGCGAAGGCGGCAUCCUGGACCGGUAUUGACGCUGAGGCGCGAAAGCCAGGGGAGCAAACGGG